AUGGGGGGCUACUACUGCUUGUUCCCCUGCUUGCUCGUCUGCUUUCUGCUCUACACACAUGGCAGCCACUCCCUGAACCAAACAUGCAAUUCCACUGACCUGGAGGCGCUUCUCGCUUUUUCCAGUGGCUUGGAUAGGAAAGGUAGCAGGCUUGUUGGAUGGGGUCCCAAUGAUGCAGCGUGCUGUUCCUGGACCGGCAUCUCUUGUGAUCUUGGGAGGGUUGUUGGGUUGAAUCUCUCCAACAAGAACCUUCAUGGCGGCAUCUCAUCCGCGAUCACCUUGCUUGAUGGCCUUGUGACUCUUAACCUCUCCCGCAACUCUCUCCGUGGCCAGCCACCAGAGGAUAUAGUCCGGUUAGCAAGGAUGCGGAUUCUCGACCUCAGCAUGAACGUGUUCUCCGGCGCGUUCCCGACGAGUGAACAUGGCUUCCCGGCAAUUGAGGUGGUGAAUGUGUCCUUCAACCAAUUCAAGGGACCGCAUCCUGUGUUCCCUGUCGCGAUGAACAUGACUAUUCUUGAUAUCUCGAAUAAUGCCUUCUCUGGUGGCAUCAACACCACCGCACUCUGUGUUGCGCCGGUCAAGGCCUUGCGGUUUUCUGGGAAUGAGUUCACCGGUGAGAUCCGCGCCGGGUUCGGCCUGUGCAAGAUGCUUACUGAGCUCUCCAUUGAUGGCAGUGGCCUUACUGGGAAACUCCCCAGGGACCUUUACACAAUAUCAGAGUUGAGGAGGCUGAGCUUACGGGAAAAUCAGCUCUCUGGUAGUCUCAGCGAGGACCUGGGUAACUUCUCUCAGCUUAUGCAUAUGGACCUGUCAUAUAACAUGUUCAGUGGCGUCAUCCCCAAUGUGUUUGGUGGUUUGAGGAGGCUGGAGUUCUUAAACUUGGCAACAAAUUUGUUGACUGGCACAUUGCCCGCUUCCCUGUCGAGCUGCCCAAUGUUGCGAGUGAUCAACCUGAGGAACAACUCACUGUCGGGCAAGAUUGCCAUUGACUUCAGUAUACUACCAAGGCUGAACGUUUUGGAUGCAGGGAGCAACAAGCUAAGUGGUCCUAUACCUCGAGAUCUCAUGUGGUGCACUAAGUUGAGGAUACUGAUCCUUGGAAGGAACCUGCUUGAUGGGGAGAUACCAGAGAGCUUUAAGAAUUUGCGAUCCUUGUCACACCUCUCGCUUUCUAGUAAUGGCCUCACCAACCUCUCAUCGGCAUUGCUGGUCUUGCAGCACCUGCCCCAACUGACGACUUUGGUGCUCACCACAAACUCGUAUGAUGGUGAGACCCUGCCAAUGGAUGGCAUCAGUGGGUUCAAGAGCAUGCAGGUGCUUGUUUUGGCAAACUGUGCGCUCUCCGGCAACAUCCCGCCUUGGCUGCAAAGAUUGGAGAGCCUCAGAGUGCUGGACCUUUCAUGGAACAAGUUGAACGGAAAGAUCCCGCUAUGGUUGGGCAAUCUGAAUAAUCUCUUCUACGUCGACCUGUCAAAGAACUUGUUCAGUGGGGAGCUUCCUGAGAGCUUUACACAGAUGAAGAGUUUAAGCUCGAGUAAUAGUAGUUCAAGUGAGCAUGCAUCAAUAGAGGACUUGCCAUUAUUCAUGAGGAAGAACUUAUCUAGCAAGGGUUUGCAAUACAACCAUGUCAGCAGCUUCCCGCCAUCGUGA
RNAcentral lists this ribosomal RNA (1650 nucleotides) under Triticum aestivum (bread wheat). Its description in RNAcentral is "partial small subunit ribosomal RNA". Lineage: Eukaryota; Viridiplantae; Streptophyta; Magnoliopsida; Poales; Poaceae. The record is from RNAcentral.